GCUCACAAUGAACGCUGGCGGCGUGCUUAACACAUGCAAGUCGAACGAGAAAUCUUUAGCUUGCUAGAGAAAGUAAAGUGGCGCACGGGUGAGUAACGCGUGGGUAAUCUGCCUCCGAAUCGGGGAUAACAUUGCGAAAGCGAUGCUAAUACCGGAUAAAAUCUGGUUGGCUUCGGUGAACCGGAUCAAAGGUGGUCUCUUUAUAAAAGCUACCGUUUGGAGAUGAGCUCGCGUACCAUUAGCUAGUUGGUGAGGUAAAGGCUCACCAAGGCGACGAUGGUUAGCUGGUCUGAGAGGAUGAUCAGCCACACCGGAACUGGAACACGGUCCGGACUCCUACGGGAGGCAGCAGUGAGGAAUUUUGCGCAAUGGGGGAAACCCUGACGCAGCAACGCCGCGUGAGUGAUGAAGGCUUUCGGGUCGUAAAGCUCUGUCGGGUGGGAAGAACCCACCAAGUGUUAAGACCACUUGGUGCUGACGGUACCACCGAAGGAAGCACCGGCUAACUCCGUGCCAGCAGCCGCGGUAAUACGGGGGGUGCGAGCGUUAUUCGGAAUCAUUGGGCGUAAAGGGCGCGCAGGCGGUUUUGUAAGUCAGAUGUGAAAUCCCGGGGCUUAACCCCGGAAGUGCAUAUGAAACUAUGAGACUUGAGUAUGGGAGAGGGAAGCGGAAUUCCUGGUGUAGCGGUGAAAUGCGUAGAUAUCAGGAGGAACACCGGUGGCGAAGGCGGCUUCCUGGACCAAUACUGACGCUGAGGCGCGAAGGCCGUGGGGAGCGAACAGGAUUAGAUACCCUGGUAGUCCA
This 804-nucleotide ribosomal RNA is filed under the name uncultured organism. RNAcentral's name for it is "bacterial SSU rRNA". It matches the Rfam family "Bacterial small subunit ribosomal RNA", at positions 22 to 797 of the family's 1533-position model. The record is from RNAcentral.